RNAcentral lists this ribosomal RNA (257 nucleotides) under uncultured bacterium. RNAcentral's name for it is "partial 16S ribosomal RNA". It matches the Rfam family "Bacterial small subunit ribosomal RNA", at positions 524 to 776 of the family's 1533-position model. The record is from RNAcentral.
UACAGAGGUCUCAAGCGUUGUUCGGAUUCAUUGGGCGUAAAGGGGUGCGUAGGCGGUGCGGUAAGUCUCUUGUGAAAUCUCCGGGACUCAACUCGGAGCCCUGCAAGGGAAACUGCCGUGCUUGAGUAUGGGAGAGGUGAGUGGAAUUCCCGGUGUAGCGGUGAAAUGCGUAGAUAAUCGGGAGGAACACCUGUGGCGAAAGCGGCUCACUGGACCAUUACUGACGCUGAUGCACGAAAGCUAGGGGAGCAAACAGG